UACGGGGGGGGCAAGCGUUGUUCGGAAUUACUGGGCGUAAAGCGCGUGUAGGCGGUUAUCCAAGUCGGGUGUGAAAGCCUUGAGCUCAACUCAAGAAAUGCAUUCGGUACUGGGUGACUAGAGGACCGGAGAGGAUAGUGGAAUUCCCAGUGUAGUGGUGAAAUACGUAGAGAUUGGGAAGAACACCAGUGGCGAAGGCGGCUAUCUGGACGGUUUCUGACGCUAAGACGCGAAAGCGUGGGGAGCAAACAGG
Molecule: ribosomal RNA, 253 nt
Filed under: uncultured bacterium
Lineage: Bacteria
Description: partial 16S ribosomal RNA
Rfam family: Bacterial small subunit ribosomal RNA
Source: RNAcentral